This 509-nucleotide ribosomal RNA is filed under the name Bacillus altitudinis. RNAcentral describes it as "bacterial SSU rRNA". It matches the Rfam family "Bacterial small subunit ribosomal RNA", at positions 1 to 494 of the family's 1533-position model. Lineage: Bacteria; Bacillati; Bacillota; Bacilli; Caryophanales; Bacillaceae. The record is from RNAcentral.
CCUCGGAGAGUUUGAUCCUGGCUCAGGACGAACGCUGGCGGCGUGCCUAAUACAUGCAAGUCGAGCGGACAGAAGGGAGCUUGCUCCCGGAUGUUAGCGGCGGACGGGUGAGUAACACGUGGGUAACCUGCCUGUAAGACUGGGAUAACUCCGGGAAACCGGAGCUAAUACCGGAUAGUUCCUUGAACCGCAUGGUUCAAGGAUGAAAGACGGUUUCGGCUGUCACUUACAGAUGGACCUGCGGCGCAUUAGCUAGUUGGUGAGGUAACGGCUCACCAAGGCAACGAUGCGUAGCCGACCUGAGAGGGUGAUCGGCCACACUGGGACUGAGACACGGCCCAGACUCCUACGGGAGGCAGCAGUAGGGAAUCUUCCGCAAUGGACGAAAGUCUGACGGAGCAACGCCGCGUGAGUGAUGAAGGUUUUCGGAUCGUAAAGCUCUGUUGUUAGGGAAGAACAAGUGCAAGAGUAACUGCUUGCACCUUGACGGUACCUAACCAGAAAGCCAC